UUUUGUUUUCACUCUCUCUCUCUCUCUUUCUCUCUCUCUCUCUAUUUAGGCUGUCGACCGUCCCGAGCAUCCACGGGAGGAUUUACGGCCAUACAACCGUGAUUACGGAGAGAUUAAGAAUUUAUAUAAACGAGUCCUUUACAAGGCAUGACCCAUUACAAAUGAGCAAACGAAACGAGCUGCGUGAGAUUGUGGAAAGGGCAAGGUUAUUGCUAUUGGUGGAACUAGCAAACUACAUCCAAGAAAUAGUGAUCAUCCGUUGAUGGUGGCUAUGUAAGAAAGGUGGCGCCCUAAAAUAAACACCACCCAUCUGACGACAUGUAUCGGAGAGAUGAUGCCGAUGUUGUAUGAUGUAUGGUGGAUUCACCAACUUGUAAUCGUGUGCCGGAAAAAGACUAUUGGCCCUACACCAC
Long non-coding RNA from Amborella trichopoda, 413 nucleotides. RefSeq lists it as uncharacterized. Lineage: Eukaryota; Viridiplantae; Streptophyta; Magnoliopsida; Amborellales; Amborellaceae. The record is from RefSeq and is a predicted model, not a curated record.